This 253-nucleotide ribosomal RNA is filed under the name uncultured bacterium. RNAcentral's name for it is "partial 16S ribosomal RNA". It matches the Rfam family "Bacterial small subunit ribosomal RNA", at positions 524 to 776 of the family's 1533-position model. The record is from RNAcentral.
UACGUAGGGAGCGAGCGUUGUCCGAAUUUACUGGGCGUAAAGCGCGCGUAGGCGGGUUUUUAAGUUGGGGGUGAAAUGCCGAGGCUUAACCUCGGAACUGCCUCCAAAACUGGGAGCCUUGAGGUUUGGAGAGGGAAGUGGAAUUCCAGGUGUAGCGGUGAAAUGCGUAGAUAUCUGGAGGAACACCCGUGGCGAAGGCGGCUUCCUGGCCAUAUCCUGACGCUGAGGUGCGAAAGCUAGGGGAGCGAACGGG